ACAACCAAAGUCACCAUUUCUUUUCUUCUAAAACUCAACCAAAUUCCUACCAAAACUUCCAUAGAUUCUCACCAAACUUCACAUUCGUUUAGCUUUUCACUUGGACAACAACUUAGGCUGGAAAAGGGAGGAGUUUCACGGCUGUCUUCAGGCUUCAUAGGGACCGAAAUUUUCUGAUUUGAACAGCCAUCAAAGUAGGUAGCCAUCUAACUUCUUAAACUUGUUUAUGGAGUUUGAUUUACGCAUUUGAGUUGGAAUCUUUACUUUAGUAGCUUGUAUUGUUGGAAAAAGUGGGCUCUAUGAAUUCCCACUCUUGGGUUGUUGCUGAUUCUGUGCUUGAUGAAGUUUAUGAUGACGGAUUAGUGUUUAAGUUAGUGUUUCGUUGAAGAAAAACUGCAGGAAACUCACGUAGAGAGCAAGGGCCAAACUUGACCAUUUUGCCCCUGCUCUGUUCGGUCAUUUUAUUGCAGAAAUUGAGGAUUUAAUGGCUUGAUUGUGUAGUUUACAUGUUGUAGAAGUUGUGUACAAAAUUUCGUUGAAAAAUAUUGAGUUUUGGUUGCUCAAACGAAUUUAUUUCAAAAACUAGUAAACUGGAAAACGGUUUCGCCGUAAUCCAGACCAGUGGUUGUAUUUCGUCCAUAACUCCGUACUCCGACGUCGAAAUCAGGUGCCGUUAGCGGUAUUUGAAACUAGACGUUUCCAUGUUUUUAUCGGUGUAUAAUGCACGUCCUGGUUUUAUGUGUGUGAGCCACACCAUUCAUCUGAAGUCGGCUGUCCUGUUUCUCCGUUCUGCCGAAAUGAUUUGAUAAUGCUGCAACUUGAGCCUUGAUUUUGAACCAGUUGCAUGCUGAAACUUGGAACGAUUUCUUCUGUGAAGUUGUAGCCCUAUGAAUUUAUUUUCUAACACUAUCAACCAUUCCCAAUUCCGAGUUAAAUUGAGAGAGUUAUGAUCAAAAUACGGCGACUGCUCGUUUUGAAAAUCUUAGAUUUGGACAGAUUGCCUUAAGGAUUUUUCCAAACUUUGGUUGAUUGAAUGACCCCCCUCCCGAGGGUAUUUUUCCGUGAAAUUUGAUAGAGAGAUAACCUUCAUAUGGAAGUAUUAUACUGCAAAAUUUGGUGUCAAUCCAAGUCCGUUUCGGCACUUAACUAAAGGUCCAAAGUUGGAACCAAAUCUGGAAAUUUUGUAACAGUCUUUAAUUUUUCCCAACUUUGAGCUACCAUAUCUUGGUGCUCGAAACUCCGAUUCUUGAUCCGUUUGUUCUGACCUAAACCUUACUUGCACCUAUAAUUUAUCUAUAAAUUUCAAGGGCUGGUUUACAACGAGUGAAUUCUGCCGAAUUUUCAAAGUUAGCGAAAAACCAACCCCGGCUCAAUCCUGGGUGAUUUGGAACAGCAACUUUAGGCUCAUUUUUGAGCACUUUCCACUUCGAUUCAUAGAAAAGUGUCUUCUAGGAACUUGCAGUACUUUCUAAGAGGUUUUCAACGGUAUAAAGUUUUCCAAUUCUCGACUUAUGCCGAGUGAGUUACGAUUUUUCAAAGAUUCAUAACAAAACUGAAAAUUUUCCAACUUUCAAGGAAAUAGAGUUUUUCAAGAACUCUUUAUUCUUUUGAUAUUAUCUAAACGUUUUAUCCCCGAUUUCCUAGAUAAAGACUUAAAUAUUGUUGAAUGUUAUUAAACCUCUCUCGAACCUCGAUUUACGAGUAAUUGAGGUUCAUUUUCACGGAAUUUCCUAGAGUAAUACUAGUGAACGAAUUAUUCCUCGAUAUUUGGGAUAUGGGUGAUAAUUCACUAUUAUUUGCUCAGGCACGCACGAGGACCUCCAAGAGGACCCUACUGUGGAAGUUUGAACUCUUCCUCCAAUUUACUUGCUUGCAUAACUUGGUGAGUGUCAAGUGUAUGCCUACUUGAACCCUAAAGUCUUGAUUCAUGCUUGAUUCACCUGAUUUCAUGCUUAGCUUAACUGAUUUUGACAAAAUGGAGUCGAGUGUGUACUUGAUCGCACUCGUUCUCAUUUGAAACGAAUGACUCAUGCUUAACAUGAUUUGCUUGGUUUACAUGACUUGAAAUGUCUGCUUAAACCUAUCAAAUGCUUGAAUACAUGAAAUGGUAUGCUAUGAUUGCAUACGUCGAUGGAGUGAAUCUCCUCGACAUUUACAUGACAAAUGGGGGACGCCCAAACUCAUAGGCCGACCUUGGAACUCGAGCCGGCAUGGGCUUGGUCGGGAACCUCGGUGAGCCAUGAACUCAAAUGAUAAGCUUGAUCUAUUGAGAGAUCUCGCUUGGCAUACUCGUAUAGUAUCGCCUUAUAAAUGUAGUGCGGGCCCGAAGUGGUAUAUGGUGGACGGAUGGGAAGUAAGUGGUGAACUACGGAUAUGAAAAUAUCAAUCCGGUUGACGGAGAGUCAUCACGGAAAGAUAUAUAAACGGUGUCGGCAAAUGUGGAACUUAGCUCCUGAGAGCUUCUAUAUCCUUGAAUUGUUUCUGGUUACAGUUUAUUGGUGUUAUUAAUUACUUGCAAGAUAAUACCUGAAUUGUUAUUGGGCUUGUUAUCUGAACUAUGUGGUUGCAUGUGUGUUCUUGGCCUCACGAGCGUUUUGCUCACCCUGUAGAUUUGUUUUCCUUAACAGGUUUGAACUCGAAGGUAAAAUGGAGAAGCCCUCUUGAUGUACUUUUGUUUAGGGCUUGUUAUUACUUUUGGUUAUGCCUUUGGUUUUGGAAUUGUACUUUUGGUAUGGAAAUGUGACCUUGAGAACUGUCACAGUUGGUAUCAGAGCCAUAUGCCGACAGUUGGGACCUUAAGUCCUUCGUCUGGAAAAGCCCCGAGCCUCUCGUUCGUGAAGAGUCACGAAGCGAAACUCUCCGUAGGGAAUGCCCGCGUGCGGGUGGUAAGCUGAUAGGUACCCCGUGAUGUGACCCUUUGGACGAAAUGUAAUCGGGUAUUCUGACGUGUGGUUUGGAGAAUGGAUGACUAUUAUUAAGUUUGAAUACUUCCGCAUUUAUUGUAUCUAAGUUAUUGGCUUGUAUUGUGUGGUCCGGCUAUAAGUUGAAUGGAAUUGCUUGAGUCCUGGCGAGAGCUAG
This 3078-nucleotide long non-coding RNA is filed under the name Coffea arabica (coffee). Its description in RNAcentral is "long non-coding RNA (CARA_LNC003298)". The record is from RNAcentral. Lineage: Eukaryota; Viridiplantae; Streptophyta; Magnoliopsida; Gentianales; Rubiaceae.